This 497-nucleotide ribosomal RNA is filed under the name uncultured bacterium. RNAcentral describes it as "partial 16S ribosomal RNA". It matches the Rfam family "Bacterial small subunit ribosomal RNA", at positions 28 to 507 of the family's 1533-position model. The record is from RNAcentral.
GACGAACGCUGGCGGCGUGCCUAAUACAUGCAAGUUGAGCGCUGAAGGUUGGUACUUGUACCAACUGGAUGAGCAGCGAACGGGUGAGUAACGCGUGGGGAAUCUGCCUUUGAGCGGGGGACAACAUUUGGAAACGAAUGCUAAUACCGCAUAAAAACUUUAAACACAAGUUUUAAGGUUGAAAGAUGCAAUUGCAUCACUCAAAGAUGAUCCCGCGUUGUAUUAGCUAGUUGGUGAGGUAAAGGCUCACCAAGGCGAUGAUACAUAGCCGACCUGAGAGGGUGAUCGGCCACAUUGGGACUGAGACACGGCCCAAACUCCUACGGGAGGCAGCAGUAGGGAAUCUUCGGCCAUGGACGAAAGUCUGACCGAGCAACGCCGCGUGAGUGAAGAAGGUUUUCGGAUCGUAAAACUCUGUUGGUAGAGAAGAACGUUGGUGAGAGUGGAAAGCUCAUCAAGUGACGGUAACUACCCAGAAAGGGACGGCUAACUACGUG